Molecule: ribosomal RNA, 867 nt
Filed under: uncultured archaeon
Lineage: Archaea
Description: bacterial SSU rRNA
Rfam family: Archaeal small subunit ribosomal RNA
Source: RNAcentral
CUCCGGUUGAUCCCGCCGGACCCGACUGCUAUCAGAGUGGGACUAAGCCAUGCGAGUCAACAUAGCAAUAUGUGGCAUACGGCUCAGUAACACGUAGUCAACAUGCCCAGGGGACGUGGAUAACCUCGGGAAACUGAGGAUAAACCGCGAUAGGUCAUCACUUCUGGAAUGGGUAAUGACUUAAAUCUAUAUGGCCCCUGGAUUGGACUGCGGCCGAUCAGGCUGUUGGUGAGGUAAUGGCCCACCAAACCUGUAACCGGUACGGGCUCUGAGAGGAGGAGCCCGGAGAUGGGCACUGAGACAAGGGCCCAGGCCCUAUGGGGCGCAGCAGGCGCGAAACCUCUGCAAUAGGCGAAAGCUUGACAGGGUUACUCUGAGUGAUUUCCGUUAAGGAGAUCUUUUGGCACCUCUAAAAAUGGUGCAGAAUAAGGGGUGGGCAAGUCUGGUGUCAGCCGCCGCGGUAAUACCAGCACCCCGAGUGGUCGGGACGUUUAUUGGGCCUAAAGCAUCCGUAGCCGGUUCUACAAGUCUUCCGUUAAAUCCACCUGCUUAACAGAUGGGCUGCGGAAGAUACUAUAGAGCUAGGAGGCGGGAGAGGCAAGCGGUACUCGAUGGGUAGGGGUAAAAUCCGUUGAUCCAUUGAAGACCACCAGUGGCGAAGGCGGCUUGCCAGAACGCGCUCGACGGUGAGGGAUGAAAGCUGGGGGAGCAAACCGGAUUAGAUACCCGGGUAGUCCCAGCUGUAAACGAUGCAGACUCGGUGAUGAGUUGGCUUAUUGCUAACUCAGUGCCGCAGGGAAGCCGUUAAGUUUGCCGCCUGGGGAGUACGGUCGCAAGACUGAAACUUAAAGGAUUGGCGGGGGAGCA